RNAcentral lists this long non-coding RNA (227 nucleotides) under Lathyrus oleraceus (garden pea). Its description in RNAcentral is "Pisum sativum (pea) long non-coding RNA (PSAT_LNC015797)". The record is from RNAcentral. Lineage: Eukaryota; Viridiplantae; Streptophyta; Magnoliopsida; Fabales; Fabaceae.
UCCCUCUCUGAAUCUGACCUUACUAGAUCGAAGUCCUACCUAACUCCAAAAUAUAUGCAUGUAUGAUCAUGUAUAGCAAACAAACAUGCAACUCAAGCAAUCAUCAAAAUCAUCUAAAAAUCACCUAAAAAUCAUCUAAAAAAUCAUCAUCAAAAUAUAUGCAUGUAUGAUCAUGUAUAGCAAACAAACAUGCAACUCAAGCAAUCAUCAAAAUCGUCUCAAAAAUC